GGUUGAUAUGGCAUGGUUGCAAACUUCAUCUAUUUCUAAUUCUCCACACUAUCACAUAAUCUAAAUCCAAAUCUGCUGAAUAUAUGGAGGAGUCAUGAGGAUUCACAGUUGCAACAGCAAGGACAUCAGCAAUUUUGUUUUCUCUUACAGGCCAUCUAAUCUAAUCAUUUCAAAUAUGAGUUGGCUGAACCUAUCCAUUUCCAUGCAUACGAGUUGCCAGAGGCUGGAAAAUCUUAUAAAUGAUGGGUGCACUAUGGAUACUUCUCAACAGAAAGAUGUUCAGAUAUUCAGUAAUUCUGAUGAUACUGACCCAACACUAUCAGCCUAGCAAAUGCUGCUUUGUUUGUGAAUGGCUUGACAUUAAUGAAAAACCAAGGAAAGUUUGAUUAAUAACAGC
This 397-nucleotide long non-coding RNA is filed under the name Androctonus crassicauda. The record is from RNAcentral. Lineage: Eukaryota; Metazoa; Arthropoda; Arachnida; Scorpiones; Buthidae.